RNAcentral lists this ribosomal RNA (253 nucleotides) under uncultured bacterium. Its description in RNAcentral is "partial 16S ribosomal RNA". It matches the Rfam family "Bacterial small subunit ribosomal RNA", at positions 524 to 776 of the family's 1533-position model. The record is from RNAcentral.
UACGUAGGGUGCGAGCGUUAAUCGGAAUUACUGGGCGUAAAGCGUGCGCAGGCGGUUUUGUAAGCCGGAUGUGAAAUCCCCGGGCUUAACCUGGGAAUGGCAUUCGGGACUGCAAGGCUGGAGUGCGGCAGAGGAGAUUGGAAUUCCUGGUGUAGCAGUGAAAUGCGUAGAUAUCAGGAGGAACACCGAUGGCGAAGGCAGCCCCCUGGGCCAAUACUGACGCUCAUGCACGAAAGCGUGGGGAGCAAACAGG